GAUGAACGCUGGCGGCGUGCCUAAUACAUGCAAGUCGAGCGAACGGACGAGAAGCUUGCUUCUCUGAUGUUAGCGGCGGACGGGUGAGUAACACGUGGAUAACCUACCUAUAAGACUGGGAUAACUUCGGGAAACCGGAGCUAAUACCGGAUAAUAUUUUGAACCGCAUGGUUCAAAAGUAAAAGACGGUCUUGCUGUCACUUAUAGAUGGAUCCGCGCUGCAUUAGCUAGUUGGGAAGGUAACGGCUUACCAAGGCAACGAUGCAUAGCCGACCUGAGAGGGUGAUCGGCCACACUGGAACUGAGACACGGUCCAGACUCCUACGGGAGGCAGCAGUAGGGAAUCUUCCGCAAUGGGCGAAAGCCUGACGGAGCAACGCCGCGUGAGUGAUGAAGGUCUUCGGAUCGUAAAACUCUGUUAUUAGGGAAGAACAUAUGUGUAAGUAACUGUGCACAUCUUGACGGUACCUAAUCAGAAAGCCACGGCUAACUACGUG
RNAcentral lists this ribosomal RNA (497 nucleotides) under uncultured bacterium. Its description in RNAcentral is "partial 16S ribosomal RNA". It matches the Rfam family "Bacterial small subunit ribosomal RNA", at positions 28 to 507 of the family's 1533-position model. The record is from RNAcentral.